UGCAGUGGGCGAUAUCAUGGAGGUCUCUGUAGUAUACAGAAGGUCGCAUCGAUCGAUGUCCAAUGGUAGCAAGUUAGCGUGAUGUGCUAGUUUUCAGAGAGAGUACACUUUGUGCUUUGAAGGCGAAAUCUCUGUAUUUUCUCCAUGAUUUUGAGAUGAACAAGAAGCAUGAAUACAAAGCGCAAGCUCUUCUGCAAAAUCGCGGAUGCGAUGGAUGCUGCUGCUAGGGCCAAAAUUUUAGAAAAUGCCGCAGUUGAAUCAUGUAAGGAAAUUCGUUCCUUCAGUCAUCAUGAAGGUUGAAGCCCGAUAAGUUCUUGAUGGUCGAGGAAGUUCGACUGCUGAAGCGGACUUGUAUUAUUCGUCUGCAUCAAUUCUACAGGCAUGAUAUGGUGUUUUGACCGUGUUCGAGCUGAACCGAAAAAGAAGGUGGAAUGCGAAAGACAUGAUGUAGGCGCUGCUGUAACACACAGGUAUCCCCUUUUCUUAUUUGCUCUUUUUGAUUUCCAAAUCUAAAUGUUAAAAAGGGUUUCUAAGAUUGUUUUUCUUUCCGUGUGAUUUAAAACCUUACACAACAAAAAACGUUUUUCUUCAAGUUAUUGGUAGUAGGUGCACUGAGAGUCUAGGAUAACCCAAUUAGAUUGGCAUAAUGCACCUGUUGGGACAUGAUAUAAAAAUGAUAUGAAAUAAGUAAUGG
Molecule: non-coding RNA, 694 nt
Organism: Cucurbita pepo subsp. pepo (vegetable marrow)
Lineage: Eukaryota; Viridiplantae; Streptophyta; Magnoliopsida; Cucurbitales; Cucurbitaceae
Source: RefSeq, a predicted model, not a curated record